RNAcentral lists this ribosomal RNA (443 nucleotides) under uncultured bacterium. Its description in RNAcentral is "partial 16S ribosomal RNA". It matches the Rfam family "Bacterial small subunit ribosomal RNA", at positions 338 to 795 of the family's 1533-position model. The record is from RNAcentral.
CCUACGGGUGGCAGCAGUGGGGAAUAUUGGGCAAUGGGCGCAAGCCUGACCCAGCAACGCCGCGUGAAGGAAGACUGCUUUCGGGUUUUAAACUUCUUUUCUCAGGGACGAAGCAAGUGACGGUACCUGAGGAAUAAGCCACGGCUAACUACGUGCCAGCAGCCGCCGUAAUACGUAGGUGGCCAGCGUUAUCCGGAUUUACUGGGUGUAAAGGGCGUGUAGGCGGGACUGCAAGUCAGAUGUGAAAACCAUGGGCUCAACCUAUGGCCUGCAUUUGAAACUGUAGUUCUUGAGUACUGGAGAGGCAGACGGAAUUCCUAGUGUAGCGGUGAAAUGCGUAGAUAGUAGGAGGAACACCAGUGGCGAAGGCGGUCUGCGGGACAGCAACUGACGCUGAGGCGCGAAAGCGUGGGGAGCAAACAGGAUUAGAUACCCGUGUAGUC